AACGAACGCUGGCGGCGUGCCCAACACAUGCAAGUCGUGCGAGAAAGUUCCUUCGGGAGCGAGUAAAGCGGCGCACGGGUGAGUAACACGUAGGUAACCUGCCCCCCAGUCUGGAACAACUAGAGGAAACUCUAGCUAAUGCCGGAUGAGACCACGAUCCCUUCGGGGGUUGCGGCCAAAGAUGGCCUCUACUUGUAAGCUAUCGCUGAGGGAUGGGCCUGCGGGCCAUUAGCUUGUUGGUGAGGUAACGGCUCACCAAGGCUGUGAUGGCUAGCUGGUCUGAGAGGAUGACCAGCCACACUGGGACUGAGACACGGCCCAGACUCCUACGGGAGGCAGCAGUGGGGAAUAUUGCGCAAUGGGCGAAAGCCUGACGCAGCGACGCCGCGUGGGUGAUGAAGGCC
RNAcentral lists this ribosomal RNA (404 nucleotides) under uncultured bacterium. RNAcentral's name for it is "bacterial SSU rRNA". It matches the Rfam family "Bacterial small subunit ribosomal RNA", at positions 29 to 416 of the family's 1533-position model. The record is from RNAcentral.